This 442-nucleotide ribosomal RNA is filed under the name Parapseudosthenarus wiborgii. RNAcentral describes it as "partial 16S ribosomal RNA". It matches the Rfam family "Bacterial large subunit ribosomal RNA", at positions 1947 to 2600 of the family's 2925-position model. The record is from RNAcentral. Lineage: Eukaryota; Metazoa; Arthropoda; Insecta; Hemiptera; Miridae.
UGUACAAAGGUAGCAUAAUCAUUUGUCUUUUAAUUGGGGUCUGGAAUGAAUGGUUGGAUGAGAAAUUGACUUUCUUUAUUUUAUAGAUAAAACUUAAUUUUUAAAUCAAAAAGUUUAAAUAUUAAUGGAGGACGAGAAGACCCUAUAGAACUUUAUUUAUCCUAAAAUAUUAUUUACUUGUAAAUAAUCUAUUAUUAUUUUAGGAUAAAUUUUGUUGGGGUGACAAAAAAAAAUUAAUAACUUUUUUUAUAUAGAUCAUAGUCAUAUGAUUUUUUGAUCCUUUAAUAAGGAUUAUAGGACUAAGUUACCUUAGGGAUAACAGCGUUAUUGUUUUAGAGAGUUCAUAUUGAUAAAAUAGUUUGCGACCUCGAUGUUGGAUUAAAAUUAGUUUCAGGAGUAGAAAAUUGAUUAACUAGGUCUGUUCGACCUUUAAAUUUUUACA